RNAcentral lists this ribosomal RNA (504 nucleotides) under uncultured bacterium. Its description in RNAcentral is "bacterial SSU rRNA". It matches the Rfam family "Bacterial small subunit ribosomal RNA", at positions 30 to 525 of the family's 1533-position model. The record is from RNAcentral.
AUUGAACGCUGGCGGCAUGCUUUACACAUGCAAGUCGAACGGUAACAGGUCUUCGGAUGCUGACGAGUGGCGAACGGGUGAGUAAUGUAUCGGAACGUGCCCAGUAGUGGGGGAUAACUACUCGAAAGAGUGGCUAAUACCGCAUGAGAACUGAGGUUGAAAGCGGGGGACCUUCGGGGCCUCGCGCUACUGGAGCGGCCGAUAUCAGAUUAGGUAGUUGGUGGGGUAAAGGCCUACCAAGCCGACGAUCUGUAGCUGGUCUGAGAGGACGACCAGCCACACUGGGACUGAGACACGGCCCAGACUCCUACGGGAGGCAGCAGUGGGGAAUUUUGGACAAUGGACGCAAGUCUGAUCCAGCAAUGCCGCGUGCAGGACGAAGGCCUUCGGGUUGUAACUAGCUUUUGUACUAGACGAAAGGGACUCUGGUUAAUACCUAGGGGCAGAUGACGGUACUGUAAGAAUAAGCACCGGCUAACUACGUAGCCAGCAGCCGCGGUAAAG